RNA transcript from Lynx canadensis (Canada lynx), 719 nucleotides. It is a transcript of the gene named ureidoimidazoline (2-oxo-4-hydroxy-4-carboxy-5-) decarboxylase, with no coding region annotated. The transcript has 2 exons. The record is from RefSeq and is a predicted model, not a curated record. NCBI's taxonomy places the organism in Eukaryota, Metazoa, Chordata, Mammalia, Carnivora, Felidae.
GCGGGCCGAGCGUCGCUCAGUCGCCGAGAGGGGAGCUGACGUUCUGCUUCGUCCAGCUGAACGCAAGCAAUGGACAUGGAGAAGGUCAACUCCAUGGACUUUGGAGAAUUUGUGGAUGUGUUCGGGAAUGUCGUUGAGAGAUGCCCUCUGAUUGCGGCUGCUGUGUGGUCCCAGCGCCCGUUCUCCAACUCGGAAGAUUUAGAGAAGCACUUUUUUGCCUUUAUUGACGCCCUUCCACAGUCAGAGCUCCCGACUCAUCUCAGCGCCAGAGUCAGAUGCUUCAGCCCCACAGUCCAGUUACAACGUUUACUACGACUAAUAACAACGGUUGUUUCUUGGAUGUUUGCUAGCAUUAGGCGCUGCGUUGGGGGGGGGGGGGAUGGAUUAAUUGUCUCCAAUCCUCAUAACGACUCGCAAGUUAGGUGUGUCAUUACCCUCCUCGUACCGAUUAUGGCUGGCUGCUUACCAUAUCGGAAAUCUUGCCCAGCCUUGAGCAUUUGAAUUCUGGCUUGAGAGAGCUAAGCAAAAAUGGUUGGUCAGGGCUCACGGAAACCCCCCGGAUUAGGAUUUAAAAGCUCAGGCAUUAUUACACCAGGGGGUUCCAGUUUUAAGCCUCGGAGAUUAUGAGAAGCUAUCUUGCAAGAAAACUCCAAAUUGUUCUCUGCGCUGUCUUUAGGAUCUAUAUUUGGAGAAAGGGAAUGAGCCUCAGACGGCGGGUG